UACGUAGGGUGCAAGCGUUGUCCGGAAUUAUUGGGCGUAAAGAGCUCGUAGGCGGUUCGUCGCGUCGGCUGUGAAAACCCGGAGCUCAACUCCGGGCCUGCAGUCGAUACGGGCGGACUCGAGUUCGGCAGGGGAGACUGGAAUUCCUGGUGUAGCGGUGAAAUGCGCAGAUAUCGUUUGGAACGCCAAUGGUGAAAACAGCUUGCUGGGAGUGUGCUGACGCUGAGACACGAAAGCCAGGGGAGCAAACGGG
RNAcentral lists this ribosomal RNA (253 nucleotides) under uncultured bacterium. RNAcentral's name for it is "partial 16S ribosomal RNA". It matches the Rfam family "Bacterial small subunit ribosomal RNA", at positions 524 to 776 of the family's 1533-position model. The record is from RNAcentral.